Long non-coding RNA from Vicia villosa (hairy vetch), 583 nucleotides. RefSeq lists it as uncharacterized. Lineage: Eukaryota; Viridiplantae; Streptophyta; Magnoliopsida; Fabales; Fabaceae. The record is from RefSeq and is a predicted model, not a curated record. The transcript is spliced from 3 exons.
AAGAAAACGUCACUUCUUACUCUCUUUCUCUCUCUCUCACGUUCUUUUCUAUCUAAUUUUUUUCUCUCUGCAAGUGAUUCCUUCUUUCCUUCUUCUUCCUUCUCUCUCUUCUGCUUUCUUCAUCCUCUGCCGCAGCUUCUACAGACAUUCACGUCUUCUACUUUCCAUUCCUCCUCCUUCCUAAUUUUUAGGUUUAGUGAUGUUAGCUUACGUGGAAGGGCUAAGAUUCGCCGGCGGUGGGGUUUCUGAUGGCUCCAGUGCGCCGCCUUCGUGACCCAAAAAGGAAGUCGGACACGGAUCCUAACCUUUUGACAAUGCAACUUGAAACUCGGAAAAUUGAACCGGGUAGGAAUUUCUUUGGUGAAAAACUAUUGUGUAGCUGUGGUGAGACCGAAUCGAUACCGAGUGUGAAGGUGCGUAUGUAGAGUUAUAUAAAGUUGUUAGCUUAGCUUGGUACAAGUUGUAUGGUUGGAACUGUUUGGGCAGGUUUGGGACUGCUUUGUUUUAUUCUGCUGGAUGAAUGAGAAAGUGCUUCUGAACUUAGCAAAUAUUGUUGGAGACGGAGGAGUCUUGAGCCCCGUCA